AACCAGCACCUCAAGUGGUCAGGAUGAUUAUUGGGCCUAAAGCAUCCGUAGCCUGUUCUAUAAGUUUCCGGUUAAAUCCAUACGCUCAACGUAUAGGCUGCCGUAAAUACUGUAGAACUAGGGAGUGGGAGAGGUAGACGGUACUCGAUAGGAAGGGGUAAAAUCCUUUGAUCUAUUGAUGACCACCUGUGGCGAAGGCGGUCUACCAGAACACGUUCGACGGUGAGGGAUGAAAGCUGGGAGCAAACUGG
RNAcentral lists this ribosomal RNA (251 nucleotides) under uncultured archaeon. Its description in RNAcentral is "partial 16S ribosomal RNA". It matches the Rfam family "Archaeal small subunit ribosomal RNA", at positions 474 to 727 of the family's 1478-position model. The record is from RNAcentral.